Molecule: ribosomal RNA, 429 nt
Filed under: Chloroflexota bacterium
Lineage: Bacteria; Bacillati; Chloroflexota
Description: Chloroflexi bacterium partial 16S ribosomal RNA
Rfam family: Bacterial small subunit ribosomal RNA
Source: RNAcentral
UGGGGAAUAUUGCACAAUGGGCGCAAGCCUGAUGCAGCCAUGCCGCGUGUAUGAAGAAGGCCUUCGGGUUGUAAAGUACUUUCAGUCGGGAGGAAGGUGGUAAGGUUAAUAACCUUAUCAAUUGACGUUACCGACAGAAGAAGCACCGGCUAACUCCGUGCCAGCAGCCGCGGUAAUACGGAGGGUGCAAGCGUUAAUCGGAAUUACUGGGCGUAAAGCGCACGCAGGCGGUCUGUCAAGUCGGAUGUGAAAUCCCCGGGCUCAACCUGGGAACUGCAUUCGAAACUGGCAGGCUAGAGUCUUGUAGAGGGGGGUAGAAUUCCAGGUGUAGCGGUGAAAUGCGUAGAGAUCUGGAGGAAGACCGGUGGCGAAGGCGGCCCCCUGGACAAAGACUGACGCUCAGGUGCGAAAGCGUGGGGAGCAAACAGG